CCUACGGGAGGCAGCAGUGAGGAAUAUUGGACAAUGGGCGCAUGCCUGAUCCAGCCAUGCCGCGUGCAGGAAGAAGCAUCUAUGGUGUGUAAACUGCUUUUGUACGGGAAGAAACACUGCUACGUGUAGCAGCUUGACGGUACCGUAAGAAUAAGGAUCGGCUAACUCCGUGCCAGCAGCCGCGGUAAUACGGAGGAUCCAAGCGUUAUCCGGAAUCAUUGGGUUUAAAGGGUCCGUAGGCGGUUUGGUAAGUCAGUGGUGAAAGCCCAUCGCUUAACGAUGGAACGGCCAUUGAUACUGCCAGACUUGAAUUACUAGGAAGUAACUAGAAUAUGUAGUGUAGCGGUGAAAUGCUUAGAUAUUACAUGGAAUACCAAUUGCGAAGGCAGGUUACUACUAGUUUAUUGACGCUGAUGGACGAAAGCGUGGGGAGCGAACAGGAUUAGAUACCCUGGUAGUCCACGCCGUAAACGAUGGAUACUAGCUGUUCGGGGUAACCUGAGUGGCUAAGCGAAAGUGAUAAGUAUCCCACCUGGGAGUACGUUCGCAGAAUGAAACUUAAAGGAAUUGACGGCUGAGAGNGACGACGACGACGACGAGGAGGAGG
Molecule: ribosomal RNA, 607 nt
Filed under: uncultured bacterium
Lineage: Bacteria
Description: bacterial SSU rRNA
Rfam family: Bacterial small subunit ribosomal RNA
Source: RNAcentral